RNAcentral lists this long non-coding RNA (1401 nucleotides) under Heterocephalus glaber (naked mole-rat). RNAcentral describes it as "lncRNA (ENSHGLG00100040021.1)". The record is from RNAcentral. Lineage: Eukaryota; Metazoa; Chordata; Mammalia; Rodentia; Bathyergidae.
AGCGCACAGACUUGACACUAUUUUAUGGCUGUCGUGGAUCCAAGAAGAAGACAUGAGCUUGGGAGCCCACUGCAUACACUGACCAUUCACUACCAUAGGCCAGACACACAUUCUCCCACCGAUGUGGGAUUUUGGUGGAGAGGAGCUUAGGCAAUGUGUUUUCAGCCUUCCCGAGAGACACUGCUCCCAAUACCUUGCUCUUGUUACUGAAGGCCAGAGCCUGGACCUUGCAGUUGUCAGCGUUUGUGUCCUCCUUGAGGAUGUGCUUUACAGCAUUAAGACUGGGAAGUUGCUGUGCUGCAUAACCAUGCAACAAUCGAGAACAGCUGGUUUCAUCCUGCAGCCUGACUUCCAGGUUCUUCAGGACCUAGGAAGAAGUGGAUUUUUGGGAGAGGCUGUGACACCAGGAAAGGGUUAUAACACGCCGGUGACGUGAUGAGCGGGCAAACCCCGGGAGACCCUUGCCAGGUGUGACUGAAUACGUGAAGAAAGUCGGGAGCAAAUGAAAGACCAGGCUUUGUGAAUUCAGUGAUACUUCCUGCACCAUAGACUCUGGAAUCUAAACCAGUUUCUCCCAUGUGGUUCAUGAAUUUCUGCAUAAAAGCUUUGAAAACAUUUCCCAAAAGUCCCCAGGAGCUUUCAUAACCACUAAUUGGCCUCUACUUUUUGGAAGUUUGGUGAUCUAGAAAGUUGGAAUGGAAACUGCCGUCCUGCUAUAAAACACCAAGGAUCCUGGGUAAAAUAGAACACUUUAAAAAUACUGUUGACCUUGCAAGACCUUGAAGAAAAUCCACAUGUUGCAAAAACAAAGAGGAAGGCAAAAUCCAGAGCAUGAAACCUACAAAUUCAGCCACAAACAGUAGCUGCCUUCAGGGAUACCAGGACCCUCCCCUGUGGGUUCUAACUCCCAAGCAAGGACCAGACCACUCAGAUACCUUGUGGACAUUUCGAAAAGGCACUCCACCCCAGUCCUUACCGGUUAAAAGGGGACUCUCAGGAAAGGGGGCCCUCCAUGCUUACUUGCCAGGGACUGUCCUCUCUGUGCUUGGAGUCUUUUCAUGACUAUUAAUAGCACUUGGUUCCCCUUCAGAAAUAUCUAGAUUAGAACGACAAAUUACAUUUCCCUCUGUUCAAAGGCUACUUAGUAAAAGGAUGGGCAAGGAAACAAAAAUAGCUUCCAGCAGCCACAGAGUCAAGGCAUGCCAUUUCCACUUUGUGUUGCACAGGGAUAAAAAAGAUUUUAAGUUAAUAAAAGCAUGCCCUCUAAAAGUUAAUAAAGAUGAGCCCUUCUUCCACAUGGGGUCAAAACACUGUAUGAGUAUCUGUCUGUAUAUAUUGUAUUUAAAAGCUGGAAAACUGAAGAGAGAAAAAUCACUCAUACUUUCUCAAUCCAAAUAAAAC